This 249-nucleotide ribosomal RNA is filed under the name Triticum aestivum (bread wheat). RNAcentral describes it as "partial small subunit ribosomal RNA". Lineage: Eukaryota; Viridiplantae; Streptophyta; Magnoliopsida; Poales; Poaceae. The record is from RNAcentral.
AUGAAGAUACCACUUAAGAAUGAAAUCUUUGCAUGGUAUCUUUGUCGAGGAGUCAUUCUUACAAAAGAUAACCUUAUUAAGAGGAAAUGGCAUGGAAAUACGCAAUGUAUUUUAUGUCAUCACAACAAAAAUAAAUAAAUAAAACACUCGUUUUUCCAAUGCAAAUUAGCUCGUUCUAUAUGGUCAGUCAUCCAAGUAGCUUCUGGCUUGUAUCCCCCACGUAGUGUUGCUAAUAUAUUUGGUAACUGA